UACGGGGGGUGCGAGCGUUAAUCGGAAUUACUGGGCGUAAAGCGUGCGCAGGCGGUUUUGUAAGCCAGAUGUGAAAUCCCCGGGCUUAACCUGGGAAUGGCAUUUGGGACUGCAAGGCUCGAGUGCGGCAGAGGAGACUGGAAUUCCUGGUGUAGCAGUGAAAUGCGUAGAUAUCAGGAGGAACACCGAUGGCGAAGGCAGGUCUCUGGGCUGACACUGACGCUCAUGCACGAAAGCGUGGGGAGCAAACAGG
Molecule: ribosomal RNA, 253 nt
Filed under: uncultured bacterium
Lineage: Bacteria
Description: partial 16S ribosomal RNA
Rfam family: Bacterial small subunit ribosomal RNA
Source: RNAcentral